This 613-nucleotide ribosomal RNA is filed under the name uncultured Gammaproteobacteria bacterium. RNAcentral's name for it is "bacterial SSU rRNA". It matches the Rfam family "Bacterial small subunit ribosomal RNA", at positions 8 to 612 of the family's 1533-position model. Lineage: Bacteria; Pseudomonadati; Pseudomonadota; Gammaproteobacteria. The record is from RNAcentral.
AGAGUUUGAUCCUGGCUCAGAUUGAACGCUGGCGGUAUGCUUAACACAUGCAAGUCGAACGGAAACGAUGGUAGCUUGCUACCAGGCGUCGAGUGGCGGACGGGUGAGUAACGCGUAGGAAUCUGCCUGAUAGUGGGGGAUAGCCCAGAGAAAUCUGGAUUAAUACCGCAUAAUCUCUAUGGAGUAAAGGAGCCCUCUUCUUGAAAGGUUUCGCUAUCAGAUGAGCCUGCGUAAGAUUAGCUUGUUGGUGAGGUAAAAGCUCACCAAGGCGACGAUCUUUAGCUGGUCUGAGAGGAUGGUCAGCCACACUGGAACUGAGACACGGUCCAGACUCCUACGGGAGGCAGCAGUGGGGAAUAUUGGACAAUGGGCGCAAGCCUGAUCCAGCAAUACCGCGUGUGAAGAAGGCCUGAGGGUUGUAAAGCACUUUCAAUUGUGAAGAAAAGCUAAUGGCUAAUACCCAUUAGCCUUGACGUUAACUUUAGAAGAAGCACCAGCUAACUCCGUGCCAGCAGCCGCGGUAAUACGGAGGGUGCAAGCGUUAAUCGGAAUUACUGGGCGUAAAGCGUGCGUAGGUGGUUUGUUAAGUUAGAUGUGAAAGCCCUGGGCUCAA